This 236-nucleotide ribosomal RNA is filed under the name uncultured bacterium. Its description in RNAcentral is "partial 16S ribosomal RNA". It matches the Rfam family "Bacterial small subunit ribosomal RNA", at positions 113 to 334 of the family's 1533-position model. The record is from RNAcentral.
CAACGUAGGUAAUCUACCUUCGGAUGGGGAAUAACAACCGGAAACGGUUGCUAAUACCGCAUAAUGCAGCGGCACCUAAUGGUGACAGUUGUUAAAGCGGGGGAUCGAAAGACCUCGCGUCUGAAGAGGAGCCUGCGGCGGAUUAGCUUGUUGGUAAGGUAACGGCUUACCAAGGCGACGAUCCGUAGCCGGCCUGAGAGGGCGGUCGGCCACACUGACACUGACAUACGGGUCAG